CCUACGGGUGGCAGCAGUGGGGAAUAUUGGACAAUGGGCGAAAGCCUGAUCCAGCCAUGCCGCGUGUGUGAAGAAGGCCUUCGGGUUGUAAAGCACUUUCAGUGGGGAAGAAAGCCUUGGGGCUAAUACCCUCGAGGAAGGACAUCACCCACAGAAGAAGCACCGGCUAACUCCGUGCCAGCAGCCGCGGUAAUACGGAGGGUGCGAGCGUUAAUCGGAAUUACUGGGCGUAAAGCGCGCGUAGGCGGUCUGAUAAGCCGGUUGUGAAAGCCCCGGGCUCAACCUGGGAACGGCAUCCGGAACUGUCAGGCUAGAGUGCAGGAGAGGAGGGUAGAAUUCCCGGUGUAGCGGUGAAAUGCGUAGAGAUCGGGAGGAAUACCAGUGGCGAAGGCGGUCUUCUGGACUGACACUGACGCUGAGGUGCGAAAGCGUGGGUAGCAAACAGGAUUAGAUACCCCAGUAGUC
This 465-nucleotide ribosomal RNA is filed under the name Vreelandella stevensii. RNAcentral describes it as "partial 16S ribosomal RNA". It matches the Rfam family "Bacterial small subunit ribosomal RNA", at positions 338 to 795 of the family's 1533-position model. Lineage: Bacteria; Pseudomonadati; Pseudomonadota; Gammaproteobacteria; Oceanospirillales; Halomonadaceae. The record is from RNAcentral.